UCGAUGAUGUGUUCGGGAUCGGAUACUGGAGUAUUUAUAAGUGAGGAGGAGGAGAGGUCUUGAAGUUUCCAGUUUCCGCUCUUCCUAAUAUUCUCCAUGCGUGUAGGAGCGCGAAGCAACGCCAGAAUUCCGGAAGCCUCUAGUUGACAAGGAAAUCCUGGGGCUGGCCUGGCUUUUUGGCCCAUGGGCCCGUUUCACCAUCUGAUGGCGUAGGGAUCUCUGGUUUUCGUACCCUGGACCUGGGUUUGUCAUUCAUGGAUCGACCAGGUUUGCAUCCUUGGCCCAGAUGCUCCCGCCGAGUAGCUUCUAGCAUCUAACGGUUCAUGCUCUUUAGUCUUAGGAGGUAGAAUGAGGAAGAAUUUGGGAAGAAAGCGACGCGUGAUUCUACAAUUGCAAAAUGGAGAAAAGUACAAGUUAGUAAAACUAUAUAUCAAGAAAAAUUUAAGAUCACUUAGAAAUAAAUCUGUUUUUUUAAAACGACAAAACUAGAAAAGGGGAAGUUA
RNAcentral lists this long non-coding RNA (503 nucleotides) under Phoenix dactylifera (date palm). Its description in RNAcentral is "long non-coding RNA (PDAC_LNC023076)". Lineage: Eukaryota; Viridiplantae; Streptophyta; Magnoliopsida; Arecales; Arecaceae. The record is from RNAcentral.